UACGGGGGGGGCAAGCGUUGUUCGGAAUUACUGGGCGUAAAGCGCGCGUAGGCGGCUUUUCAAGUCAGACGUGAAAUCCCCCGGCUUAACCUGGGAACUGCGUCUGAUACUGGACGGCUUGAGUAUGGGAGAGGAACGUAGAAUUCCAGGUGUAGCGGUGAAAUGCGUAGAUAUCUGGAGGAAUACCGGUGGCGAAGGCGGCGUUCUGGACCAUUACUGACACUGAAUCGCGAAAGCUAGGGGAGCAAACGGG
This 253-nucleotide ribosomal RNA is filed under the name uncultured bacterium. RNAcentral's name for it is "partial 16S ribosomal RNA". It matches the Rfam family "Bacterial small subunit ribosomal RNA", at positions 524 to 776 of the family's 1533-position model. The record is from RNAcentral.